This 338-nucleotide unclassified non-coding RNA is filed under the name soil metagenome. Its description in RNAcentral is "partial contains 5.8S ribosomal RNA, internal transcribed spacer 2, and large subunit ribosomal RNA". The stretch from base 1 to 120 matches the Rfam family "5.8S ribosomal RNA", at positions 35 to 154 of the family's 154-position model. The record is from RNAcentral.
GAUGAAGAACGUAGCGAAAUGCGAUAAUUAAUGUGAAUUGCAGAAUUUAGUGAAUCAUCGAAUCUUUGAACGCACAUUGCGCCCUUUGGUAUUCCUUAGGGCAUGCCUGUUCGAGCGUCAUUUGAAACCUCAAGCUCAGCUUGGUGUUGGGUGUCUGUCCCCGCCUCACCGCGGGGACUCGCCUCAAAAUCAUUGGCGGCCGGUACGUUGGCUUCGAGCGCAGCAGAAACGCGAACUCGAGGCCCGGCGGAUCGGCGACCAGAAGUCACUUCUUCACAGUUUGACCUCGGAUCAGGUAGGGAUACCCGCUGAACUUAAGCAUAUCAAUAAGCGGAGGA